CGCAAGCCUGACGGAGCCAGACCGCGUGGGGGAGGAAGGCCCUUGGGUUGUAAACCACUUUUCUCAGGGAAGAAGAACUGACGGUACCUGAGGAAAAAGCCUCGGCUAACUCCGUACCAGCAGCCGCGGUAAUACGGAGGAGGCAAGCGUUAUCCGGAAUUACUGGGCGUAAAGCGUUCGUAGGGGGCUCGUCAAGUCUGCUGUCAAAGGUCGGAGCUUAACUCCGGUUCGGCAGUGGAAACUGGUGCGCUAGAGGGCGACAGGGGUAGAGGGAAUUCCCGGUGUAGCGGUGAAAUGCGUAGAUAUCGGGAAGAACACCAGAGGCGAAAGCGUUCUGCUGGGCCGCACCUGACCCUGAGGGACGAAAGCCAGGGGAGCG
RNAcentral lists this ribosomal RNA (379 nucleotides) under uncultured cyanobacterium. Its description in RNAcentral is "bacterial SSU rRNA". It matches the Rfam family "Bacterial small subunit ribosomal RNA", at positions 376 to 770 of the family's 1533-position model. The record is from RNAcentral. Lineage: Bacteria; Bacillati; Cyanobacteriota.